CAGAGGGGGCAAGCGUUAUUCGGAAUUAUUGGGCGUAAAGGGCGCGUAGGCGGCUUGGCAAGUGGAAGGUGAAAUCCCUCGGCUUAACCGAGGAACUGCCCUCCAAACUGCUUUGCUUGAGGCCGGGAGAGGUGAGUGGAAUUCCCAGUGUAGCGGUGAAAUGCGUAGAUAUUGGGAGGAACACCAGUGGCGAAGGCGGCUCACUGGACCGGUUCUGACGCUGAGGCGCGAAAGCGUGGGGAGCAAACGGGAUUAGAUACCCCGGUAGUCCACGCCGUAAACGAUGAGUGCUUGGUGUAGCGGGUAUCGACCCCUGCUGUGCCGAAGUCAACACAUUAAGCACUCCGCCUGGGGAGUACGGUCGCAAGGCUG
This 372-nucleotide ribosomal RNA is filed under the name uncultured organism. Its description in RNAcentral is "bacterial SSU rRNA". It matches the Rfam family "Bacterial small subunit ribosomal RNA", at positions 526 to 896 of the family's 1533-position model. The record is from RNAcentral.